UGCAGUCGAACGCUGAAGCCCGUGAGUGCUUGCACCGGGGUGGAUGAGUGGCGAACGGGUGAGUAACACGUGAGUAACCUGCCCCCGACUUCGGGAUAAGCCCGGGAAACUGGGUCUAAUACCGGAUAUGACCAUGACUCGCAUGAGUGAUGGUGGAAAGUUUUUUCGGUUGGGGAUGGGCUCGCGGCCUAUCAGUUUGUUGGUGAGGUAAUGGCUCACCAAGACGACGACGGGUAGCCGGCCUGAGAGGGCGACCGGCCACACUGGGACUGAGACACGGCCCAGACUCCUACGGGAGGCAGCAGUGGGGAAUAUUGCACAAUGGGGGAAACCCUGAUGCAGCGACGCAGCGUGCGGGAUGACGGCCUUCGGGUUGUAAACCGCUUUCAGCAGGGAAGAAGCCUUUCGGGGUGACGGUACCUGCAGAAGAAGUACCGGCUAACUACGUGCCAGCAGCCGCGGUAAUACGUAGGGUACAAGCGUUGUCCGGAAUUAUUGGGCGUAAAGAGCUCGUAGGUGGUUGGUCACGUCUGCUGUGGAAACGCAACGCUUAACGUUGCGCGUGCAGUGGGUACGGGCUGACUAGAGUGCAGUAGGGGAGUCUGGAAUUCCUGGUGUAGCGGUGAAAUGCGCAGAUAUCAGGAGGAACACCGGUGGCGAAGGCGGGACUCUGGGCUGUAACUGACACUGAGGAGCGAAAGCAUGGGGAGCGAACAGGAUUAGAUACCCUGGUAGUCCAUGCCGUAAACGUUGGGCACUAGGUGUGG
RNAcentral lists this ribosomal RNA (767 nucleotides) under Brevibacterium sp. Hotan24. RNAcentral describes it as "bacterial SSU rRNA". It matches the Rfam family "Bacterial small subunit ribosomal RNA", at positions 56 to 825 of the family's 1533-position model. The record is from RNAcentral. Lineage: Bacteria; Bacillati; Actinomycetota; Actinomycetes; Micrococcales; Brevibacteriaceae.